Molecule: ribosomal RNA, 2902 nt
Filed under: Klebsiella pneumoniae
Lineage: Bacteria; Pseudomonadati; Pseudomonadota; Gammaproteobacteria; Enterobacterales; Enterobacteriaceae
Description: 23S ribosomal RNA
Rfam family: Bacterial large subunit ribosomal RNA
Source: RNAcentral
GGUUAAGCGACUAAGCGUACACGGUGGAUGCCCUGGCAGUCAGAGGCGAUGAAGGACGUGCUAAUCUGCGAAAAGCGUCGGUAAGGUGAUAUGAACCGUUACAGCCGGCGAUGUCCGAAUGGGGAAACCCAGUGUGAUUCGUCACACUAUCGUUAACUGAAUACAUAGGUUAACGAGGCGAACCGGGGGAACUGAAACAUCUAAGUACCCCGAGGAAAAGAAAUCAACCGAGAUUCCCCCAGUAGCGGCGAGCGAACGGGGAGCAGCCCAGAGUCUGAAUCAGCUUGUGUGUUAGUGGAACGGUCUGGAAAGUCCGACGGUACAGGGUGAUAGUCCCGUACACCAAAAUGCACAGGCUGUGAACUCGAAGAGUAGGGCGGGACACGUGGUAUCCUGUCUGAAUAUGGGGGGACCAUCCUCCAAGGCUAAAUACUCCUGACUGACCGAUAGUGAACCAGUACCGUGAGGGAAAGGCGAAAAGAACCCCGGCGAGGGGAGUGAAAAAGAACCUGAAACCGUGUACGUACAAGCAGUGGGAGCACCUUCGGGUGUGACUGCGUACCUUUUGUAUAAUGGGUCAGCGACUUAUAUUCUGUAGCAAGGUUAACCGUAUAGGGGAGCCGCAGGGAAACCGAGUCUUAACUGGGCGUUAAGUUGCAGGGUAUAGACCCGAAACCCGGUGAUCUAGCCAUGGGCAGGUUGAAGGUUGGGUAACACUAACUGGAGGACCGAACCGACUAAUGUUGAAAAAUUAGCGGAUGACUUGUGGCUGGGGGUGAAAGGCCAAUCAAACCGGGAGAUAGCUGGUUCUCCCCGAAAGCUAUUUAGGUAGCGCCUCGUGAAUUCAUCUUCGGGGGUAGAGCACUGUUUCGGCUAGGGGGUCAUCCCGACUUACCAACCCGAUGCAAACUACGAAUACCGAAGAAUGUUAUCACGGGAGACACACGGCGGGUGCUAACGUCCGUCGUGAAGAGGGAAACAACCCAGACCGCCAGCUAAGGUCCCAAAGUCAUGGUUAAGUGGGAAACGAUGUGGGAAGGCACAGACAGCCAGGAUGUUGGCUUAGAAGCAGCCAUCAUUUAAAGAAAGCGUAAUAGCUCACUGGUCGAGUCGGCCUGCGCGGAAGAUGUAACGGGGCUAAACCAUGCACCGAAGCUGCGGCAGCGACACUAUGUGUUGUUGGGUAGGGGAGCGUUCUGUAAGCCUGCGAAGGUGACCUGUGAGGGUUGCUGGAGGUAUCAGAAGUGCGAAUGCUGACAUAAGUAACGAUAAAGCGGGUGAAAAGCCCGCUCGCCGGAAGACCAAGGGUUCCUGUCCAACGUUAAUCGGGGCAGGGUGAGUCGACCCCUAAGGCGAGGCCGAAAGGCGUAGUCGAUGGGAAACAGGUUAAUAUUCCUGUACUUGGUGUUACUGCGAAGGGGGGACGGAGAAGGCUAUGUUAGCCGGGCGACGGUUGUCCCGGUUUAAGCAUGUAGGCUGGUUAUCCAGGCAAAUCCGGAUAAUCAAGGCUGAGGUGUGAUGACGAGGCACUACGGUGCUGAAGUAACAAAUGCCCUGCUUCCAGGAAAAGCCUCUAAGCAUCAGGUAACAUCAAAUCGUACCCCAAACCGACACAGGUGGUCAGGUAGAGAAUACCAAGGCGCUUGAGAGAACUCGGGUGAAGGAACUAGGCAAAAUGGUGCCGUAACUUCGGGAGAAGGCACGCUGGUGUGUAGGUGAAGUCCCUGCGGAUGGAGCUGAGACCAGUCGAAGAUACCAGCUGGCUGCAACUGUUUAUUAAAAACACAGCACUGUGCAAACACGAAAGUGGACGUAUACGGUGUGACGCCUGCCCGGUGCCGGAAGGUUAAUUGAUGGGGUUAUCCGUAAGGAGAAGCUCUUGAUCGAAGCCCCGGUAAACGGCGGCCGUAACUAUAACGGUCCUAAGGUAGCGAAAUUCCUUGUCGGGUAAGUUCCGACCUGCACGAAUGGCGUAAUGAUGGCCAGGCUGUCUCCACCCGAGACUCAGUGAAAUUGAACUCGCUGUGAAGAUGCAGUGUACCCGCGGCAAGACGGAAAGACCCCGUGAACCUUUACUAUAGCUUGACACUGAACAUUGAGCCUUGAUGUGUAGGAUAGGUGGGAGGCUUUGAAGCGUGGACGCCAGUCUGCGUGGAGCCAACCUUGAAAUACCACCCUUUAAUGUUUGAUGUUCUAACGUUGGCCCCUGACCGGGGUUGCGGACAGUGUCUGGUGGGUAGUUUGACUGGGGCGGUCUCCUCCCAAAGCGUAACGGAGGAGCACGAAGGUUAGCUAAUCCUGGUCGGACAUCAGGAGGUUAGUGCAAUGGCAUAAGCUAGCUUGACUGCGAGCGUGACGGCGCGAGCAGGUGCGAAAGCAGGUCAUAGUGAUCCGGUGGUUCUGAAUGGAAGGGCCAUCGCUCAACGGAUAAAAGGUACUCCGGGGAUAACAGGCUGAUACCGCCCAAGAGUUCAUAUCGACGGCGGUGUUUGGCACCUCGAUGUCGGCUCAUCACAUCCUGGGGCUGAAGUAGGUCCCAAGGGUAUGGCUGUUCGCCAUUUAAAGUGGUACGCGAGCUGGGUUUAGAACGUCGUGAGACAGUUCGGUCCCUAUCUGCCGUGGGCGCUGGAGAAUUGAGGGGGGCUGCUCCUAGUACGAGAGGACCGGAGUGGACGCAUCACUGGUGUUCGGGUUGUCAUGCCAAUGGCACUGCCCGGUAGCUAAAUGCGGAAGAGAUAAGUGCUGAAAGCAUCUAAGCACGAAACUUGCCCCGAGAUGAGUUCUCCCUGAGACUUUAAGUCUCCUGAAGGAACGUUGAAGACGACGACGUUGAUAGGCCGGGUGUGUAAGCGCAGCGAUGCGUUGAGCUAACCGGUACUAAUGAACCGUGAGGCUUAACCUU